Molecule: transfer RNA, 67 nt
Filed under: Marmota monax (woodchuck)
Lineage: Eukaryota; Metazoa; Chordata; Mammalia; Rodentia; Sciuridae
Description: tRNA.Phe
Rfam family: tRNA (bases 5-63)
About the family: Transfer RNA (tRNA) molecules are approximately 80 nucleotides in length. Their secondary structure includes four short double-helical elements and three loops (D, anti-codon, and T loops). Further hydrogen bonds mediate the characteristic L-shaped molecular structure. tRNAs have two regions of fundamental functional importance: the anti-codon, which is responsible for specific mRNA codon recognition, and the 3' end, to which the tRNAs corresponding amino acid is attached (by aminoacyl-tRNA synthetases). tRNAs cope with the degeneracy of the genetic code in two manners: having more than one tRNA (with a specific anti-codon) for a particular amino acid; and 'wobble' base-pairing, i.e. permitting non-standard base-pairing at the 3rd anti-codon position.
Source: RNAcentral
GGACGUGGCUCAGUGAUAUAGUGCUUGCCAGAAAAGCAUGAAGCCCUGGGUUCAAUUCCCAGCACCA